Molecule: ribosomal RNA, 862 nt
Filed under: uncultured Campylobacterota bacterium
Lineage: Bacteria; Pseudomonadati; Campylobacterota
Description: bacterial SSU rRNA
Rfam family: Bacterial small subunit ribosomal RNA
Source: RNAcentral
AGAGUUUGAUCAUGGCUCAGGGUGAACGCNNNNGGUGCGCCUAACACAUGCAAGUCGAGCGGUAGAAUUGAAUAGCUUGCUAUUUAAUUUGAGAGCGGCGAACGGGUGAGUAACAUGUUGAUAUCUGCCCCCAAGUCAGGGAUAGCCAUUGGAAACGAUGAUUAAUACCGGAUAGUCUCUACAGAGUAAAAAUUUAUUGCUUGGGGAGGAGUCUACAUUCUAUCAGAUAGUUGGUGAGGUAAAAGCUCACCAAGUCUAUGACGGAUAGCUGGUCUGAGAGGAUGAUCAGCCACAAUGAAACUGAGACACGGUUCAUACUCCUACGGGAGGCAGCAGUGAGGAAUCUUCCACAAUGGACGAAAGUCUGAUGGAGCGACACCGCGUGAAGGAUGAAGGCCUAACGGUUGUAAACUUCUUUUCUGAAGGAGCAUAAUGAGAGUACUUCAGGAAUAAGGGACGGCUAAUUACGUGCCAGCAGCCGCGGUAAUACGUAAGUCCCGAGUGUUACCCGGAAUCAUUGGGUGUAAAGGGUUCGUAGGCGGAUAAUUAAGUUGGGUAUUAAAGACCGAGGCUCAACCUCGUGUUUGUGCCCAAAACUGGUUAUCUAGAAUUAGGGAGAGGUAAGUGGAAUUCUGUGUGUAGGGGUGCAAUCCGUAGAUACACAGAGGAACACCAAAAGCGAAGGCAACUUACUGGAACUAUAUUGACGCUGAUGAACGAAAGCGUGGGUAGCGAAAAGGAUUAGAUACCCUUGUAGUCCACGCCCUAAACGAUGAUAACUAAGUGUUGGGACUAGAUCUCAGUGCUGAAGCUAACGCAUUAAGUUAUCCNCCUGANGAGUACGGUCGCAAGAUUAAAACUC